UCCCGCAUCAGUCCAUUAAACUAUGGGAACCGCUGUAUGAUAUCUUGCCCGUCGGAGCUCAUACAGUUAAAGCAAAUGACACGGCUACGCAUGUAGACCUGAAGGCAGAGGAUCUGCGGACGCGGGUUCGAUUCCCGCCGCCUCCACCA
This 149-nucleotide transfer-messenger RNA is filed under the name Legionella sp. RNAcentral's name for it is "partial transfer-messenger RNA". It matches the Rfam family "transfer-messenger RNA", at positions 220 to 374 of the family's 374-position model. From Rfam's summary of the family: Bacterial tmRNA, also known as 10Sa RNA or SsrA, is named for its dual tRNA and mRNA-like properties. Its role is to liberate the mRNA from a stalled ribosome. Lineage: Bacteria; Pseudomonadati; Pseudomonadota; Gammaproteobacteria; Legionellales; Legionellaceae. The record is from RNAcentral.